This 767-nucleotide long non-coding RNA is filed under the name Lactuca sativa (garden lettuce). Its description in RNAcentral is "long non-coding RNA (LSAT_LNC009375)". Lineage: Eukaryota; Viridiplantae; Streptophyta; Magnoliopsida; Asterales; Asteraceae. The record is from RNAcentral.
AUGGGGGAACUCACUAAGCUUCGUGCCUACGGUUUUCAAUUUUGGUUUCAGGUACUUCGUUUUCAAAGGAAAGGAGUUGGCUCGAUCGCAACGCAUCACACUAUUUUUCCGCACAUGAGAUCUUUGGGAUUGCACUCUGAUAUUGUUUUAUAAUAACAUGUUUUGAUUAUUAACACUUUGGUUUUGACAUGAGAUGUUUUUAUGUUGUUGGUUAUAUGAAUUAUUAAACNCAUCUUGGUUGUUUUGUCGAACUAUUGGUGGGUUGACUUGACCAACACUUCCACUGUAGUUUCCUUCCUCAGUCUGCCCUUCGUUCAACUCGAGCUGUUCGAUCUGAAUGGUCGCUUCCUCUCGAUUAUCCUGGAGCAANGGUUUUGACAUGAGAUGUUUUUAUGUUGUUGGUUAUAUGAAUUAUUAAACUAAAAAUGAAAUUUUUGGUCUUAAAAUUUGGGAUGUUACAAGUUGGUAUCAGAGCCCUAGUUUGAGGGAUUCAAACACACUCUCGGGCGUGUCUGGACUCAAUUCUGGGGUUUGAAAGAUUUUUACAAGAAAUUAAUUUUCUAAAAAUUAAAAUAAAGAGUUUUGAUAAAGAACAAGGAGUGUGGUGCGUGAAAUCAGUCGAGCUCAACUAAGUUUUCCCCAAGAUACCCAUACAUGUUAUGUUAUGUUAUGAUAUGAAUUGAGAAUAUGUGAACUGCAUGCUAGAAUAGGGUUAAGGAUCUAGGAAGGAUGCCUUAUAUGCCUAUUAUAUGUGCUUGUAGACCUGC